ACGUGUUACAAUGGCAGGUACAGAGGGGUGCUACCGGGUGACCGGAUGCCGAUCUCGAAAACCUGUCCCAGUUCGGACUGGAGUCUGCAACCCGACUCCACGAAGUUGGAUUCGCUAGUAAUCGCGCAUCAGCCAUGGCGCGGUGAAUACGUUCCCGGGCCUUGUACACACCGCCCGUCAAGCCAUGGGAGCCGGGGGCGCCUGAAGUCCGGGACCGCGAGGACCGGCCUAGGGCGAAACUGGUGACUGGGGCUAAGUCGUAACAAGGUAGC
Molecule: ribosomal RNA, 272 nt
Filed under: uncultured bacterium
Lineage: Bacteria
Description: partial 16S ribosomal RNA
Rfam family: Bacterial small subunit ribosomal RNA
Source: RNAcentral